This 1221-nucleotide long non-coding RNA is filed under the name Arabidopsis lyrata. RNAcentral's name for it is "long non-coding RNA (ALYR_LNC003126)". Lineage: Eukaryota; Viridiplantae; Streptophyta; Magnoliopsida; Brassicales; Brassicaceae. The record is from RNAcentral.
AAAGAUAAGUAUGCAUAUCAAUCAAUCUACACACUUUUAGAUAUACAUCAUAUCGGUAUCUAGUUUUUUUUUUUUUUCUUGUAAGUAUCGAUAUCAUCAACCUAUACGUUUUUUGUCGGGAUCUAUAUCUCUAUUUAUACGUUACAUAUAUUAUAUACAGGAUAAUGUAAAUAUGUGUGUUUCUAUAUACAAAUCAUGUAUUAAGCCAUAAUAAUGAUAUGAAUCCAUGAAUUAUAUAGGGACCGGCACUGAAUAUAGCUAUGUAAAGAUGCCAUGAGUUUGCAUGUGGUAUCUUUGAGAAAAGGACGUGAAAAACAAAAUAAAAAUAAAAAGAUUCUAUGUUUUAAGGUUUCAUAAAAUUACUAUCUAUUUGGUUUGAUUAAUAUAUUACAGUUGAUUUCCUAGCAAAAAAUGCAUAUUUAUAUUUCAAUUUGAUGUGUUGUUAAAUUGUAAUUUUGAAUUAGGGAAGAGGGACAUACGGAGAAUGACGAUGCCAGCAACCCAUUGGCCUGAGUUAGAACGAAUAGAGGGACGACCAUAGUAAUCCACUGUUCCAUCUCUUGUUUCUUCUUCUUCUUCUUCUUUCUUCUUCAUUGUCUGCAUUUUUCAUUUAGUUAAAUUUAAUUAGUUGAUACACACACAUCAAUUUAUCUAUAAAUAUAUAGAAAGAUGCUAUAUAUGUUUAAUUCUCUACUAGUAUGUACCACCUUUUUUGCUCAUGUUACGGAGAAGAUUCAUAAGUUCCAUGGUUUUUGUUUUUCCGGAACUUGACCAAAAACAAAAAACGAUUUUUUCUUUUAACUCUAAUUUUCUGCAUUGCCACGUAAUUCUCGUUUUGUAUACACUACUUUCAAGAUUAUAUUUGGAUUUAUACUCGACUUUAAAUUGGAGCACUAAAAAAGAAAAAUACUUACAUCCAUAUAUAUAAAGAAGAUUAGAUAUAAUAUGCCAAUAUUAUAGAGCUUAAUUUAAAAGCUUGUCUAUUAAAAAUAUUUUUUUGAAGAAAAAGAAAAGAUGUUGAGCUAAAUGUUUGUUGCACAUAAAGAUCGUGACUUUCCAUUGCACUAAGCAUGUCCUUUUGAUCAUGCUCUUAUUGAGCCACCAAAAGCUUAUAAAGUUUUUACUAUAACAAUGAGUUACUUAACAAGAAAAAAAUUUCCUUUUGUAGUCACAUAUGAAAUUCAAGAAACAAGAGCCUUAAUCAGAUAAUCAAAAUCUUAU